GAGGCCUAAACAUGCAAGUCGAGCGGAAACGGCAGUAUUGAAGCUUCGGUGGAUUUACUGGACGUCGAGCGGCGGACGGGUGAGUAACGGCUGGGAACCUGCCCUGACGAGGGGGAUAACCGUUGGAAACGACGGCUAAUACCGCAUAAUGUCUACGGACCAAAGGUGGCCUCUACAUGUAAGCUAUCGCGUUGGGAUGGGCCCAGUUAGGAUUAGCUAGUUGGUAAGGUAAUGGCUUACCAAGGCGACGAUCCUUAGCUGGUUUGAGAGGAUGAUCAGCCACACUGGGACUGAGACACGGCCCAGACUCCUACGGGAGGCAGCAGUGGGGAAUAUUGCACAAUGGGGGAGACCCUGAUGCAGCCAUGCCGCGUGUGUGAAGAAGGCCUUCGGGUUGUAAAGCACUUUCAGCAGUGAGGAAGGUAGUGUACUUAAUACGUGCAUUGCUUGACGUUAGCUGCAGAAGAAGCACCGGCUAACUCCGUGCCAGCAGCCGCGGUAAUACGGAGGGUGCGAGCGUUAAUCGGAAUUACUGGGCGUAAAGCGCAUGCAGGCGGUUUGUUAAGUCAGAUGUGAAAGCCCGGGGCUCAACCUCGGAACCGCAUUUGAAACUGGCAGGCUAGAGUCUUGUAGAGGGGGGUAGAAUUUCAGGUGUAGCGGUGAAAUGCGUAGAGAUCUGAAGGAAUACCAGUGGCGAAGGCGGCCCCCUGGACAAAGACUGACGCUCAGAUGCGAAAGCGUGGGUAGCAAACAGGAUUAGAUACCCUGGUAGUCCACGCCGUAAACGAUGUCUACUUGGA
Molecule: ribosomal RNA, 800 nt
Filed under: Salinivibrio sp. JSM 075080
Lineage: Bacteria; Pseudomonadati; Pseudomonadota; Gammaproteobacteria; Vibrionales; Vibrionaceae
Description: bacterial SSU rRNA
Rfam family: Bacterial small subunit ribosomal RNA
Source: RNAcentral